GUUUGUGAGUUCAAGCCCCACAAUGGGCUCUUCAUUGACAGGGUACCUGCUUGGGAUUCUCUCUCUCUCUCUCUCUCUCUCUCUCUCUCU
Lynx canadensis (Canada lynx) is the source of this 90-nucleotide long non-coding RNA. RefSeq lists it as uncharacterized. The record is from RefSeq and is a predicted model, not a curated record. Lineage: Eukaryota; Metazoa; Chordata; Mammalia; Carnivora; Felidae. The transcript has 3 exons.